This 440-nucleotide ribosomal RNA is filed under the name uncultured bacterium. RNAcentral's name for it is "partial 16S ribosomal RNA". It matches the Rfam family "Bacterial small subunit ribosomal RNA", at positions 338 to 795 of the family's 1533-position model. The record is from RNAcentral.
CCUACGGGUGACAGCAGUGGGGAAUAUUGCACAAUGGGGGAAACCCUGAUGCAGCGACGCCGCGUGAGUGAAGAAGUAUCUCGGUACGUAAAGCUCUAUUAGCAGGGAAGAAAAUGACGGUACCUGACUAAGAAGCCCCGGCUAACUACGUGCCAGCAGCCGCGGCAAUACGUAGGGGGCAAGCGUUAUCCGGAUUUACUGGGUGUAAAGGGAGCGUAGACGGCAGCACAAGUCCGAAGUGAAAUCCCGGGGCUUAACCCCGGAACUGCUUUGGAAACUGUGCGGCUGGAGUGCAGGAGGGGUAGGCGGAAUGCCUGGUGUAGCGGUGAAAUGCGUAGAGAUUAGAAAGAACACCGAUGGCGAAGGCAGCUUACUGGGCUGUAACUGACGUUGAGGCUCGAAAGCGUGGGGAGCAAACAGGAUUAGAUACCCGGGUAGUC